GAUGAACGCUGGCGGCGUGCCUAAUACAUGCAAGUCGAGCGAACAGACGAGGAGCUUGCUCCUCUGACGUUAGCGGCGGACGGGUGAGUAACACGUGGAUAACCUACCUAUAAGACUGGGAUAACUUCGGGAAACCGGAGCUAAUACCGGAUAAUAUAUUGAACCGCAUGGUUCAAUAGUGAAAGACGGUUUUGCUGUCACUUAUAGAUGGAUCCGCGCCGCAUUAGCUAGUUGGUAAGGUAACGGCUUACCAAGGCAACGAUGCGUAGCCGACCUGAGAGGGUGAUCGGCCACACUGGAACUGAGACACGUUCCAGACUCCUACGGGAGGCAGCAGUAGGGAAUCUUCCGCAAUGGGCGAAAGCUUGACGGAGCAACGCCGCGUGAGUGAUGAAGGUCUUCGGAUCGUAAAACUCUGUUAUUAGGGAAGAACAAAUGUGUAAUUAACUAUGCACGUCUUGACGGUACCUAAUCAGAAAGCCACGGCUAACUACGUG
RNAcentral lists this ribosomal RNA (497 nucleotides) under uncultured bacterium. RNAcentral describes it as "partial 16S ribosomal RNA". It matches the Rfam family "Bacterial small subunit ribosomal RNA", at positions 28 to 507 of the family's 1533-position model. The record is from RNAcentral.